Molecule: long non-coding RNA, 105 nt
Organism: Cucurbita maxima (winter squash)
Lineage: Eukaryota; Viridiplantae; Streptophyta; Magnoliopsida; Cucurbitales; Cucurbitaceae
Exons: 3
Source: RefSeq, a predicted model, not a curated record
GGCCAUUCAAUAGUUGUCUAGUACUUGAAAUUGCAAAAUGUAAAUGCCAAUGCAAAUGCAAACCUUGACACGGAAAUUCUCAUAGAUAGGAUGACGAGCAGAGGC